This 581-nucleotide long non-coding RNA is filed under the name Lathyrus oleraceus (garden pea). RNAcentral's name for it is "Pisum sativum (pea) long non-coding RNA (PSAT_LNC013562)". Lineage: Eukaryota; Viridiplantae; Streptophyta; Magnoliopsida; Fabales; Fabaceae. The record is from RNAcentral.
ACACGAGGAGGCUUCAGAGCUUGCAAAGCUAACCAACAUGGUGAGAUCACAAAAAGUCAAACACUGAAUAUCAGCAUGAGAGUUCAACCAGGUAUGACUCUAUCACUCUGAUUUUGCGUAUGUCCUUUUGACACGUCACAGCAUGACAACACACACUGAGGCAAGUUGUUUGUUUAGCCAGGGCCUUUCUAGUCAUCCCUAUCUGUAUGUUUCCCUUCGUGAACCCCGUUGAGCCAUAGCCUUUUGUUCAUCAUAAACCCAUGUUAACCAUUAAUCAUUCAUUCCUUCCAUCACUCGACAUGAUUGUUGUGAGUUGCAAGAUGUGCAUAAAGCUAAGUUUGGGGUAGUAAUCUAGAAAGAUAAGGCAAAUGCAUAAUAAGAGAUCAUACAAAAAGAAAAGAAUUGUGUAUGUCCAAAAAGAAAAAAAAAGAAAAAAAAAGAAAAAAAAAAGAGAAAAAAUGCACUUGCCGAGACUUAAGACUCUAACACCUAUAAAAUGCUCGAAAAAUUUGAGUAGAAAAAGAGUCAAAAUAGUGAAAUUAACCCCCAGAGUAUACGUGAUGCACGAGAAAAGGAGAAAG